CGCCCGCGAGGGUGCCCGCCGGUCUCAUCAGAAUCUCUGUUUUCGAACCCGACGAUACUUCUGAGUGUUCUUAGCGAACUGUCAAAACUUUUAACAACGGAUCUCUUGGCUCCAGCAUCGAUGAAGAACGCAGCGAAACGCGAUAUGUAAUGUGAAUUGCAGAAUUCAGUGAAUCAUCGAAUCUUUGAACGCACAUGGCGCCUUCCAGUAUCCUGGGAGGCAUGCCUGUCCGAGCGUCGUUUCAACCCUCGAGCCCCCGUGGCCCGGCGUUGGGGAUCUGCCACGGCAGGCCCCUAAAACCAGUGGCGGACCCGAAGGCCCUCUCCUUUGCGCAGUAGCAUCAGCCUCGCAUUGGGAUCCCUCGGCGUCCUGCCUCUAAACCCCCCACAAGUCCGCUCCGGCGGCACCAAGGUUGACCUCGGAUCAGGUAGGAAUACCCGCUGAACUUAAGCAUAUCAA
Molecule: ribosomal RNA, 459 nt
Filed under: Plectosphaerella cucumerina
Lineage: Eukaryota; Fungi; Ascomycota; Sordariomycetes; Glomerellales; Plectosphaerellaceae
Description: eukaryotic LSU rRNA
Rfam family: 5.8S ribosomal RNA (bases 86-239)
Source: RNAcentral